GGCCGUCAGAGAGGGUGAGAAUCCCGUCUUGGGCAGGGUGCCCGUGCCCGUGUGAAGCUCCUUCGACGAGUCGAGUUGUUUGGGAAUGCAGCUCUAAAUGGGUGGUAAAUUUCAUCUAAAGCUAAAUACCGGCCGGAGACCGAUAGCGCACAAGUAGAGUGAUCGAAAGAUGAAAAGCACUUUGAAAAGAGAGUUAAACAGCACGUGAAAUUGUUGAAAGGGAAGCGCUUGCGACCAGACUCGGCCCCGGGGUUCAGCCAGCACUCGUGCUGGUGUACUUCCCCGGGGGCGGGCCAGCGUCGGUUUGGGCGGCCGGUCAAAGGCCCCAGGAAUGUGUCGCCCUCCGGGGCGUCUUAUAGCCUGGGGUGCAAUGCGGCCAGCCCGGACCGAGGAACGCGCUUCGGCACGGACGCUGGCGUAAUGGUCGCAAACGACCCGUCUUGAAACACGGACCAAGGAGUCUAACAUCUACGCGAGUGUUCGGGUGUCAAACCCGUACGCGCAGUGAAAGCGAACGGAGGUGGGAGCCCCGCAAGGGGCGCACCAUCGACCGAUCCUGAUGUCUUCGGAUGGAUUUGAGUAAGAGCGUAGCUGUGGGGACCCGAAAGAUGGUGAACUAUGCCUGAAUAGGGCGAAGCCAGAGGAAACUCUGGUGGAGGCUCGCAGCGGUUCUGACGUGCAAAUCGAUCGUCAAAUUUGGGUAUAGGGGCGAAAGACUAAUCGAACCAUCUGGUAGCUGGUUCCUGCCGAAGUUUCCCUCAGGAUAGCAGUAACGCGGAUCAGUUUUAUGAGGUAAAGCGAAUGAUUAGAGGCAUUGGGGUUGAAACAACCUUAACCUAUUCUCAAACUUUAAAUAUGUAAGAAGCCCUUGUUUCUUAGUUGAACGUGGGCAUUAGAAUGGAGCGUUACUAGUGGGCCAUUUUUGGUAAGCAGAACUGGCGAUGCGGGAUGAACCGAACGCGAGGUUAAGGUGCCGGAAUGCACGCUCAUCAGACACCACAAAAGGUGUUGGUUCAUCUAGACAGCCCGACGGUGGCCAUGGAAGUCGGAAUCCGCUAAGGAGUGUGUAACAACUCACGGGCCGAAUGAACUAGCCCUGAAAAUGGAUGGCGCUCAAGCGUGCUACCCAUACCUCGCCGUCGGGGUAGAAACGAUGCCCCGACGAGUAGGCAGGCGUGGGGGUCCGUGACGAAGCCU
This 1197-nucleotide ribosomal RNA is filed under the name Aspergillus keveii. RNAcentral's name for it is "LSU rRNA". It matches the Rfam family "Eukaryotic large subunit ribosomal RNA", at positions 198 to 1411 of the family's 3401-position model. The record is from RNAcentral. Lineage: Eukaryota; Fungi; Ascomycota; Eurotiomycetes; Eurotiales; Aspergillaceae.